Spodoptera litura is the source of this 277-nucleotide long non-coding RNA. RefSeq lists it as uncharacterized. The record is from RefSeq and is a predicted model, not a curated record. Lineage: Eukaryota; Metazoa; Arthropoda; Insecta; Lepidoptera; Noctuidae.
GCGAAGCAGACGUGUACCAUUUAUUUGUCUCAAAUAAAAGUGAUAUUUCUAAUCAUUUUGUGUGUCUAGUGAAGCUGAGGACUCAUGCAGUUCACACUGCCAGUCGCCGAGUCACCGUGGACGUCUACUACAGUGAUGGCGUCAGGAAAAUGUGGAGUUAUAAUUAUGUUGCUGUAUGGACGUGACAGAGGGAACGAGAUGAACUUCAAAUACUGUGUAUAACAUGGGUAGAUUAUUUAAAGAGUUUCUUGAAAUCCAUGUAAUAAAAAUUAUAACU